AGUGAACGCUGGCGGUAGGCCUAACACAUGCAAGUCGAACGGCAGCACAGUAAGAGCUUGCUCUUACGGGUGGCGAGUGGCGGACGGGUGAGGAAUACAUCGGAAUCUACUUUUUCGUGGGUGAUAACGUAGGGAAACUUACGCUAAUACCGCAUACGACCUACGGGUGAAAGCAGGGGAUCUUCGGACCUUGCGCGAUUGUAUGAGCCGAUGUCGGAUUAGCUAGUUGGCGGGGUAAAGGCCCACCAAGGCGACGAUCCGUAGCUGGUCUGAGAGGAUGAUCAGCCACACUGGAACUGAGACACGGUCCAGACUCCUACGGGAGGCAGCAGUAGGGAAUAUUGGACAAUGGGCGCAAGACUGAUCCAGCCAUACCGCGUGGGUGAAGAAGGCCUUCGGGUUGUAAAGCCCUUUUGUUGGGAAAGAAAAGCAGCAGGUUAAUACCCCGAUGUUCUGACGGUACCCAAAGAAUAAGCAACGGCUAACUUCGUG
This 492-nucleotide ribosomal RNA is filed under the name uncultured bacterium. RNAcentral describes it as "partial 16S ribosomal RNA". It matches the Rfam family "Bacterial small subunit ribosomal RNA", at positions 29 to 507 of the family's 1533-position model. The record is from RNAcentral.